This 602-nucleotide ribosomal RNA is filed under the name uncultured beta proteobacterium. RNAcentral describes it as "bacterial SSU rRNA". It matches the Rfam family "Bacterial small subunit ribosomal RNA", at positions 86 to 684 of the family's 1533-position model. The record is from RNAcentral. Lineage: Bacteria; Pseudomonadati; Pseudomonadota; Betaproteobacteria.
UGGUGGCGAGUGGCGAACGGGUGAGUAAUAUAUCGGAACGUGCCCAGUCGUGGGGGAUAACGCAGCGAAAGCUGUGCUAAUACCGCAUACGAUCUAUGGAUGAAAGCGGGGGAUCGCAAGACCUCGCGCGAUUGGAGCGGCCGAUAUCAGAUUAGGUAGUUGGUGGGGUAAAGGCCCACCAAGCCGACGAUCUGUAGCUGGUCUGAGAGGACGACCAGCCACACUGGAACUGAGACACGGUCCAGACUCCUACGGGAGGCAGCAGUGGGGAAUUUUGGACAAUGGGCGCAAGCCUGAUCCAGCAAUGCCGCGUGCAGGAUGAAGGCCUUCGGGUUGUAAACUGCUUUUGUACGGAACGAAACGGUCCUUUCUAAUAUAAGGGGCUAAUGACGGUACCGUAAGAAUAAGCACCGGCUAACUACGUGCCAGCAGCCGCGGUAAUACGUAGGGUGCGAGCGUUAAUCGGAAUUACUGGGCGUAAAGCGUGCGCAGGCGGUUAUGUAAGACAGAUGUGAAAUCCCCGGGCUCAACCUGGGACCUGCAUUUGUGACUGCAUAGCUAGAGUACGGUAGAGGGGGAUGGAAUUCCGCGUGUAGCAGUGA